This 381-nucleotide ribosomal RNA is filed under the name uncultured eukaryote. RNAcentral describes it as "SSU rRNA". It matches the Rfam family "Eukaryotic small subunit ribosomal RNA", at positions 587 to 990 of the family's 1831-position model. The record is from RNAcentral.
AGCUCCAAUAGCGUACGUUAAUGUUGUUGCAGUUAAAAGCUCGUAGUCGAAUUUCUGGCCGAGGAAGUCCACUCUCAGUGGUUCUCACCUUAGGCCAUCCGCUUGAAAAUACUGAUGGUGUUUUAUCGCUCCUCUUUAGGAUCAGGCAUUUUACUUUGAAGAAAUUAGAGUGUUUCAGGCAGGCUUUCGCUUGAAUACACCAGCAUGGAAUAAUGGAAUAGGACCUCUAUCCUUUACUGGUUAAUGAUAUAGGUAAUGAUUAACAGGGACAGUUGGGGGCAUUCGUACUAAAGAGUCAGAGGUGAAAUUCUUCGAUUUCUUUAAGACGAACUAAUGCGAAGGCAUCUGCCAAGGAUGUUUUCAUUGAUCAAGAACGAAAGU